This 397-nucleotide ribosomal RNA is filed under the name uncultured bacterium. RNAcentral describes it as "bacterial SSU rRNA". It matches the Rfam family "Bacterial small subunit ribosomal RNA", at positions 29 to 422 of the family's 1533-position model. The record is from RNAcentral.
AUUGAACGCUGGCGGCAUGCUUUACACAUGCAAGUCGAACGGCAGCACGGGGGCAACCCUGGUGGCGAGUGGCGAACGGGUGAGUAACACAUCGGAACGUGCCCAGUUGUGGGGGAUAACCUAUCGAAAGGUAGGCUAAUACCGCAUGAGCUCGGCAAGAGGAAAGCGGGGGACUCAGCGAUGGGCCUCGCGCGACUGGAGCGGCCGAUGUCCGAUUAGCAGUUGGUGGGGUAAAGGCUUACCAAGGCGACGAUCGGUAGCUGGUCUGAGAGGAUGAUCAGCCACACUGGGACUGAGACACGGCCCAGACUCCUACGGGAGGCAGCAGUGGGGAAUUUUGGACAAUGGGGCAACCCUGAUCCAGCCAUGCCGCGUGAGUGAAGAAGGCCUGGUGUAG